RNAcentral lists this ribosomal RNA (253 nucleotides) under uncultured bacterium. RNAcentral describes it as "partial 16S ribosomal RNA". It matches the Rfam family "Bacterial small subunit ribosomal RNA", at positions 524 to 776 of the family's 1533-position model. The record is from RNAcentral.
UACGAAGGGGGCUAGCGUUGCUCGGAAUCACUGGGCUUAAAGGGUGCGUAGGCGGGUCUUUAAGUCAGGGGGGAAAUCCUGGAGCUCAACUCCAGAACUGCCUUUGAUACUGAAGAUCUUGAGUUCGGGAGAGGUGAGUGGAACUGCGAGUGUAGAGGUGAAAUUCGUAGAUAUUCGCAAGAACACCAGUGGCGAAGGCGGCUCACUGGCCCGAUACUGACGCUGAGGCACGAAAGCGUGGGGAGCAAACAGG